RNAcentral lists this ribosomal RNA (444 nucleotides) under uncultured bacterium. RNAcentral's name for it is "partial 16S ribosomal RNA". It matches the Rfam family "Bacterial small subunit ribosomal RNA", at positions 354 to 796 of the family's 1533-position model. The record is from RNAcentral.
GUGAGGAAUAUUGCGCAAUGGAGGCAACUCUGACGCAGCCAUGCCGCGUGCAGGAAGAAGGCGCUACGCGUUGUAAACUGCUUUUAACCGGGAAGAAACCCCAGGACGUGUCCUGGGUUGACGGUACCGGAGGAAUAAGCACCGGCUAACUUCGUGCCAGCAGCCGCGGUAAUACGAAGGGUGCAAGCGUUAUCCGGAUUCAUUGGGUUUAAAGGGUGCGUAGGCGGAGCGUUAAGUCAGUGGUGAAAUCCUGCAGCUUAACUGUAGACUUGCCAUUGAUACUGGCGCUCUUGAGUGUGCUUGAAGUGGGCGGAAUGUGCCGUGUAGCGGUGAAAUGCUUAGAUAUGACACAGAACACCAAUUGCGAAGGCAGCUCACUAAGGCGAUACUGACGCUGAGGCACGAAAGCGUGGGGAUCGAACAGGAUUAGAACCCUAGUAGUCC